RNAcentral lists this long non-coding RNA (1174 nucleotides) under Crocodylus porosus (Australian saltwater crocodile). Its description in RNAcentral is "lncRNA (ENSCPRG00005009244.1)". The record is from RNAcentral. Lineage: Eukaryota; Metazoa; Chordata; Crocodylia; Crocodylidae.
AUGGCAUUUAACUUUAUCUUGAGAGGGAGGGAGCGGGGGAAGAGAUGCAGCAUAUGUGGUAAAAGAAAGCGUUUCUAUGGUACCCCUCUCCAGUCAGGUUAUAGAGCGAGUGAAUGGGAAAUUGUGGUGAGAAAGAAGAGUUUCUUUCCAUGGUGGAUCCAGUAUAAGGAAGUGAAUCACAGCCAACGAUUACAAAUAGUUACUGGUUUCUUAGCAAGCAAUCUUCCCCAGGGCAUUUGGCAAAAAAAUGUUCAUAUUCAAAGAAACGAAGGAUUAACCUCUCAUAGCUGCCGAGGCAUUAAUAGCCUCCCACUGGGCAAAGACAAUAGCCCCAACCCAGGCACUUGUUUUAAGAACUACAGGCAAUCAUUGUCCUGGAAUAGUGAAUGCAUUAAUUAUAUGACCAGCAAAAUAGAGGACAAACAGAUGUGGUGCUACAUGGACAUAAGGCACAUCACUGCUGUUGCGAGUUUGGAGCUUGGGGGUACUGCAGUUGCCCAGCAGAGAGAUUGUGUGCAAGUGAGUGAUGAAGAAGAUCAUCAGACUGGAGAAGUCACGGCCCAUUCAGCAAUGGACCCUUCUUCCAUGACGUGAAGCUUGAAGACUGCCCAUCGUGAGAGGAUGGGACCCCGUUUCCUAUCCAGCACUGGUGGGUCUACUUGGGUGUCCCCAGAGCCACAAAGACUGCUGCCUGAAGCACAGCAAAUGGGAAAUCAUGUCCAUUAAAGCAAAGUGCCCUGAGCAGAAAAGCUGUUCUCUUGUGCCACCAUCACUGCCUAAAGCCACAUGCAUCCCCCCAUCCUAGACAGGUCAGCCAGAGGAAGAGGAGGUGAAAGAGCUGAGUCAACAGCAAGGCCAUCAGCAGGAAGAGAGCCUGACAAAAGACCCCCCAUUUGCAUAACGAGCACAAAUCCAGCCCCCUCUACCAACCUCCAGCUAACAAGCAACCACCAUGUGGGUGACCAGUCUGAAAAAGUUCAACUGCUUUAGAGUUGCCUUUGUUUUAAUGGUGGCAUGUUUCAUAGAUUUCAUAGACAUUAGGGCUGGAAGGGACCUCAGGAGAUCAUCAAGUCCAGCCCCCUGCCCAAAGGGCAGGAAGUCAGCUGCAGUCAUAGGAUCCCAGCAAGAUAAGCAUCCAAUUUACUCUUGAAGGUGUUCAAUGUAGGUGCUUGAA